Molecule: ribosomal RNA, 458 nt
Filed under: uncultured bacterium
Lineage: Bacteria
Description: partial 16S ribosomal RNA
Rfam family: Bacterial small subunit ribosomal RNA
Source: RNAcentral
CCUACGGGUGGCAGCAGUGAGGAAUAUUGGUCAAUGGGCGAGUGCCUGAACCAGCCAAGUCGCGUGAGGGAGUACUGCCCUAUGGGUUGUAAACCUCUUUUGUCGGGGAGCAAAAGCCGGACGUGUCCGGCUGUGAGAGUACCCGAAGAAAAAGCAUCGGCUAACUCCGUGCCAGCAGCCGCGGUAAUACGGAGGAUGCGAGCGUUAUCCGGAUUUAUUGGGUUUAAAGGGUGCGCAGGCGGAUUUUUAAGUCAGCGGUAAAAUCGUGGGGCUCAACCCCAUCCAGCCGUUGAAACUGGGGAUCUAGAGUGUGCGAGAGGUAUGCGGAAUGCGUGGUGUAGCGGUGAAAUGCAUAGAUAUCACGCAGAACCCCGAUUGCGAAGGCAGCAUACCGGUGCACAACUGACGCUCAGGCACGAAAGCGUGGGUAUCGAACAGGAUUAGAUACCCUUGUAGUC